UACGGAGGGUGCAAGCGUUAUCCGGAUUCACUGGGUUUAAAGGGUGCGUAGGUGGGCUAGUAAGUCCGCUGUGAAAUCUCGAGGCUCAACUUCGAGCUGUCGGUGGAAACUGUCUGGCUAGAGUCCGGAAGAGGAGAAUGGAAUUCCUGGUGUAGCGGUGAAAUGCGCAGAUAUCAGGAAGAACACCCGUGGCGAAGGCGGUUCUCUGGGACGGUACUGACGCUGAGACGCGAAAGCGUGGGGAGCGAACAGG
Molecule: ribosomal RNA, 253 nt
Filed under: uncultured bacterium
Lineage: Bacteria
Description: partial 16S ribosomal RNA
Rfam family: Bacterial small subunit ribosomal RNA
Source: RNAcentral